Molecule: non-coding RNA, 81 nt
Organism: Daucus carota subsp. sativus
Lineage: Eukaryota; Viridiplantae; Streptophyta; Magnoliopsida; Apiales; Apiaceae
Source: Rfam
CGGUGUGAUGAUAAACAGGAGAAGCUGCACCAGAUUGAGAAGAAAACGAAUUUGCAAAUGAGCGGCCUGUAUUUUCCUGAA